Molecule: long non-coding RNA, 1708 nt
Filed under: Salmo salar (Atlantic salmon)
Lineage: Eukaryota; Metazoa; Chordata; Actinopteri; Salmoniformes; Salmonidae
Description: lncRNA (ENSSSAG00000067401.2)
Source: RNAcentral
AUUUUUUUAAAAUUUCUUUUCCCCAGAGAUGUACAAGCGCUAUUGUCACACAAUAUACAACGGGCCAGUCACAAAGCACUGGUGCAGAAAUUUGUAGUGGUUUUUCCAGAUAUGGAAAUCAUACAUAAAUUACAGAGCAAAAAAAAAAAGAACAGAGGUUGAAAGAAAAUAAGAAGUUAAGCUGGCCACCAAGACAUUUCUCCUAUAUUAGUUUUGUUUUUCAAAAUUUGGCAAGGAACCAAGAGUUUCACCUGAACAUGUGACCUUAUAGCUUUUAACUAUGGCCCAGAGUUAUUCCUGGUUGUUGAAAAAUAAUAGUGACGAUAAUCAUGACAACGUACAACCAUUUUAAUGUUAAAAAAUUCCUUUGAAUAAACAAAGAGAUAUUUAGACUUAACAACAAUACAGCUUUUUCAAAUCUUAUUAUAAUGACUUUCCCCCCCUAAAUAUAUACAACCGAAGUCUGACUACACAGGAAUUAAUAUUUUCCACAUUAUUUUAGGCUAUUCCUUUAUACCAGUCCUUUCCCCAGAAUAAACCAUUGAGAAUGGUAAUUAGGUGAUAAUAAAAAAAAAAAAACUAUUUCUGCUAACAACAAUAUUAAAUAAAGACCCUACUCAACACACGAGCGUGCUGAGUACAUCAGCAUGCUGACACUACUUAGCAUGCUGACACUACUUAGCAUGCUGACAUCUCUAUCACUGUGAUCCCUAAUCCAUUCCAGGUGGACCACAUUUUUGUUUCAGCCCAGCACUAACACACUCAACUAAUCAAUGGCUUGGUGACUGGUUGAGCAAUUGAACAGUAGAAUCAGAAUGUGUUAGUGUUGAGCUAGAACAAAAAUGUGCACCUCAAGAAUAGAAACACUGUUCUAUAAUAUCUGUACAGGUAAGUCAGGGUAAACUGGAUGACAGUUGUGUCGUGCAGGGAUGGAUGAUGUCAGGUUUAGAAGAGUGCAGUGAGCUACAGGGAUCUUAUUUACCUAAUGUGGGGCACUAUUGGCUUAUCCUUAACAGGUCCUGGGUGAAUAAAUUGGAGUCUUGGGCACACAUUGUCCAAACAGUGUCCAUGGGUGGCAAACCAGCGCAGCCCAAUCCAGCCCAGCCAAGCCUGGCCAUGUCCGGUCCACUCCAGUCCAGUCUGGUCCAUCCCAGCCUGACACUGUCACUUUAAGGAGACCAGGUACAAUGCCAUCGUCAGACAGGUUAUCGCCACAGCAUGGUGGAGUCUAGUCCCAAUCACUGCAGCUGAGAGACGAAAGAGAGAGGGAGGGAGAGAGCGAAAGAGACCAAGGAAGACAGAAGGGGGAGAGAGAAUGGGGGUGCAAGAGAGAGAGAGAGAUGGGAGGGAUACAGAUAGGGGAGGGAUGGACAGAUAGAGGGGGAAAUAGAAUGGGGGAAUGAGGGAGAAAAAGUCAGUAGAUCAGAAGUAGGAGUAAGUGGACCUCUCUGCUUCAGACUAUGAUGAAACUGUAGCAUGGCUUUUUGGCUGUAGUUAGAAACACAAACCCAGUAUUUAUAUCCCAUUCUUCUAUUACAUAGAUGGAAAUUAGUGCUUGAUUGACUGAUGGCUUACCUUUAUAGAACACCCCCCACACACCCUUCUUUUCUGAGAGUAGCCAGCUGUUGAGGCGAGGCACCUUCUUGAGGUAUGCACAUGUACAGAUGAACAGAAUCCCAAAUACAACAAUCCCAUCCAACGAGUACAC